GACGAACGCUGGCGGCGUGCUUAACACAUGCAAGUCGAACGGAAAGGCCCUGCUUUUGUGGGGUGCUCGAGUGGCGAACGGGUGAGUAACACGUGAGUAACCUGCCCUUGACUUUGGGAUAACUUCAGGAAACUGGGGCUAAUACCGGAUAGGAGCUCCUGCUUCAUGGUGGGGGUUGGAAAGUUUCGGCGGUUGGGGAUGGACUCGCGGCUUAUCAGCUUGUUGGUGGGGUAGUGGCUUACCAAGGCUUUGACGGGUAGCCGGCCUGAGAGGGUGACCGGCCACAUUGGGACUGAGAUACGGCCCAGACGCCUACGGGAGGCAGCAGUGGGGAAUAUUGCACAAUGGGCGGAAGCCUGAUGCAGCAACGCCGCGUGCGGGAUGACGGCCUUCGGGUUGUAAACCGCUUUCGCCUGUGACGAAGCGUGAGUGACGGUAAUGGGUAAAGAAGCACCGGCUAACUACGUG
RNAcentral lists this ribosomal RNA (468 nucleotides) under uncultured bacterium. RNAcentral describes it as "partial 16S ribosomal RNA". It matches the Rfam family "Bacterial small subunit ribosomal RNA", at positions 28 to 507 of the family's 1533-position model. The record is from RNAcentral.